This 433-nucleotide ribosomal RNA is filed under the name uncultured bacterium. RNAcentral's name for it is "partial 16S ribosomal RNA". It matches the Rfam family "Bacterial small subunit ribosomal RNA", at positions 29 to 507 of the family's 1533-position model. The record is from RNAcentral.
AACGAACGCUGGCGGCAUGCCUAACACAUGCAAGUCGAACGAGACCUUCGGGUCUAGUGGCGCACGGGUGCGUAACGCGUGGGAAUCUACCCUCAGGUUCGGAAUAACUCAGAGAAAUUUGAGCUAAUACCGGAUGAUGACGUAAGUCCAAAGAUUUAUCGCCUGAGGAUGAGCCCGCUUAGGAUUAGGUAGUUGGUGAGGUAAAGGCUCACCAAGCCGACGAUCCUUAGCUGGUCUGAGAGGAUGAGCAGCCACACUGGGACUGAGACACGGCCCAGACUCCUACGGGAGGCAGCAGUGGGGAAUAUUGGACAAUGGGCGAAAGCCUGAUCCAGCAAUGCCGCGUGAGUGAUGAAGGCCUUAGGGUUGUAAAGCUCUUUUACCCGGGAUGAUAAUGACAGUACCGGGAGAAUAAGCUCCGGCUAACUCCGUG